RNAcentral lists this ribosomal RNA (2828 nucleotides) under Telmatocola sphagniphila. Its description in RNAcentral is "Bacterial large subunit ribosomal RNA". It matches the Rfam family "Bacterial large subunit ribosomal RNA". Lineage: Bacteria; Pseudomonadati; Planctomycetota; Planctomycetia; Gemmatales; Gemmataceae. The record is from Rfam by way of RNAcentral.
GGCCAAGCUAAUAAGGGCGUGUGGGGGAUGUCUAGGCACUAGAAGGCGAAGAAGGGCGUGGAAGACUGCGAAAAGUCCGGGGGAGCUGUCAAACGAGUUUUGAUCCCGGAAUCCCUGAACUAGCAUACACUGAAUCCAUAGGUGUAUGCGGCGAACGGAGGGAACUGAAACAUCUCAGUACCUCCUGGAAAAGAAAGCAAAAGCGAUUUUCCUAGUAGCGGCGAGCGAACGGGAAACAGCCCAAACCGGUGAAUCUAUUUCGCCGGGGUUGUAGGACCGCAUUUAAGAUUCGAUAGUCUAGCUGAACGCUUCAGGAAUGGGCGACCAUAGAGUGUGAAAGUCACGUAAGCGGCAGACGAAACGACUGAGCGGUAUCCUGAGUAGGACCAUGCACGUGAAACGUGGUCUGAAUCGGCGGGGACCAUCCCGCAAGGCUAAAUACUCUCUAGUGACCGAUAGCGAACAAGUAGCGCGAGCGAAAGAUGAGAAGAACCCCGACAAGGGGAGGAAAGUGAACCUGAAACCACAUGCCUACAAGCGGUCGGAGGACUAUGCCCGCAAGGGAAUGUCUGACGGCGUGCCUUUUGCAUAAUGAUCCGGCGACUUACCGUAACUGGCCAGAUUAAGCGCUUAUGGCGCGGAGUCGUAGCGAAAGCGAGUCUUAAAAGGGCGAUCAGUCAGGUGCGGUAGACGCGAAACCACGUGAUCUACGCAUGGCCUGGAUGAAGUGGAGGUAACACUCCAUGGAAGACCGAACUCACGAGUGUUGAAAAACUUGGGGAUGAGCUGUGUGGAGGAUUGAAAGUAUCAUCAAACGUGGAGAUAGCUCGUUCUCUCCGAAAUAACUUUAGGGUUAGCGUUAGGAUAGUUGGCACUGGGGGUAGAGCGACUGAAUUCGAAAGGGGGCCUACCCGGCUACCCUUCGAAACCAAACUCCGAAUACCAGUGUACCAAGUCCUUGCAGUUAGACGGUGGGGGAUAAGCUUCAUCGUCGAGAGGGGAACAACCCAGAUCACCUGCUAAGGUCCCAAAUUUAUGCUCAGUGCGAAAGGAAGUUGGAUUCCUAAGACAGCCAGGAUGUUGGCUUAGAAGCAGCCACCAUUUAAAAAGUGCGUAAUAGCUUACUGGUCGAGGGAUCCUGCGCCGAUAAUGAACGGGACUAAGCAUAAAACCGAAGCAGUGAAUGCGCAAGCAUGGUAGGAGAGCGUUGUCAACAGGGCGAAGUGGUACGGAUAACGAGCCAUGGACAGUUGACAAGUGAUCAUGCCGGAACGAGUAACGAUAAAACAGGUGAGAAUCCUGUUCGCCGUAAACCUAAGGUUUCCUGGGGAAGGUAAAUCCGCCCAGGGUUAGUCGGACCCUUAGUCGAGGCCGAAAGGCGUAGACGAUGGACAUACGGUUAAUAUUCCGUAACCGAUUUAUGCGAUCGAAGGCGUGUGACGUUGAUUUGAAGGAGUACCGCCUGCUAGAUUAGGCGGGUCGAAAGACGAGGGCUUUUACGAUCCCGAAGUCUCUAGAUUAUCAACCAAGAAAAGCCACUGCCGGACAAUUAAAUCGACCGUACUAAAACUGACACAGGUAGGUGAGAUGAAUAUUCUAAGGCGCUCGAGAGAACGCUCGUGAAGGAACUCUGCAAAUUAACUCCGUAACUUCGGGAAAAGGAGUGCCACCAUCCGUGGUGGUCGCAGUGAAAAGGUUCUAGCGACUGUUUACUAAAAACACAGGACUCUGCGAACUCGUAAGAGGAAGUAUAGAGUCUGACGCCUGCCCGGUGUCGGUAAGUUAAGGGAGACGGUUAACCGUAAGGUGAAGCUGGCGACCGAAGCUCCGAUAAACGGCGGCCGUAACUAUGACGGUCCUAAGGUAGCGAAGUUCCUUGUCGGGUAAGUUCCGACCUGCAUGAAUGGCGUAACGACUGGAACACUGUCUCCACGAGCGACUCGGUGAAACUGUAGUUGUCGUGAAGAUGCGACAUACCCGCAAUUAGACGGAAAGACCCCGUGAACCUUAACUGUAGCUUGGUAUUGGGUUUAGACCCAACAUGCGUAGUGUAGCUGGGAGACUAUAAAGGCGCGCUCUCGGGCGAGCUGAAGUCGUCGAUGAAACACCAGCCUUGUUGUGUUUGAAUUCUAACCCCGACCCGUGAAUCCGGGCGGUGGACAGUGCUAAGUGGGCAGUUUGAUUGGGGCGAUCUCCUCCUAAAAGGUAACGGAGGAGUCCAAAGGUACCCUCAGCCCGGUUGGCAAUCGGGCUUCGAGCGUAAAGGUAUAAGGGUGCUUGACUGCGAGGAGGAUGCUCCGAGCAGGUACGAAAGUAGGGCUUAGUGAUCCGGUGGUUCUGAAUGGAAAGGCCAUCGCUCAACAGAUAAAAGGUACUCCGGGGAUAACAGGCUUAUCUCCUCUGAGCGUUCAUAGCGGCGAGGAGGUUUGGCACCUCGAUGUCGGCUCAUCGCAUCCUGGGGGUGGAGAAGCUCCCAAGGGUUUGGCUGUUCGCCAAUGAAAGCGGUACGUGAGCUGGGUUUAGACCGUCGUGAGACAGGUCGGUCCCUAUCUGUUGCGGGCGCAGGAUACUUGAGAGGCUUCCUCCCUAGUACGAGAGGAUUGGGAGGGACGCACCUAUGGUGUGCCAGUUAUGACGCUAGUCGUAUCGCUGGGUAGCUACGUGCGGAAUGGAUAAACGCUGAAGGCAUAUAAGCGUGAAACUUCCCUCAAGACUAGGUAUCCUUGCUUUGCUGAAGUCUCCCGGUAGACGACCGGGUAUAUAGGUCAGAUGUGUAAGGAUAGUAAUAUUCUAAGCUAACUGAUACUAACAGACGAACGCUUUGCCAC